Acanthochromis polyacanthus (spiny chromis) is the source of this 571-nucleotide long non-coding RNA. RefSeq lists it as uncharacterized. NCBI's taxonomy places the organism in Eukaryota, Metazoa, Chordata, Actinopteri, Pomacentridae. The record is from RefSeq and is a predicted model, not a curated record. The transcript has 2 exons.
GCGGGACGACAUUAUUUUCCCGCACUCCGCUUCGCUUUGGAUCCUGCGACCUCGGAGCCGGCAUCGGCUGGCUAAAGCCAUGGAUGGAUUCCUUCUUAACCGCACCGGGGGAUUGUGGUCAACAGAAAGUGGUGCUGCAGCGAGUGUUGGAAGACCUGUGCUAUUUAAAGCUAAGCUAAAAGGAUGUUAGAGCCCACCAACCCGCUGGGGACAGAGCGACUUCCAUUCUCUGCUAACAAAGUGCCCAUUUGCAACAAUGGAUGAUGACCGACUGCAUUUGCCAGACUAUGACUUUUGCUUUGAGACUUCUCUGCACAGAAAUCUGAGAAAAGAGUUGCUGAACGCCAUUGUGUGCCGUCUGAAUGUUCUCUCCUACUAACAAGACAGGAAAAAAAUUUACUGAGUGAUUCCUCAAGUAAGCAUUAGAAUUGUUUUGAGUUUGCAUGAUGCUACCACAGGAAUCCAGUGAAAUGAAUGAAAAAGUAAAGGGUUGCAACGGCUGCAGUUUAUGUAAAUUACAAUAACUACUAAUAGCAACUUUGAAGUAUUUCAAAUACAGAUUUGUACAAAC